AAGCAACGCGAAGAACCUUACCAGGUCUUGACAUCCCACUGACCGGUAUAGAGAUAUACCUUUCCCUUCGGGGACAGUGGUGACAGGUGGUGCAUGGUUGUCGUCAGCUCGUGUCGUGAGAUGUUGGGUUAAGUCCCGCAACGAGCGCAACCCUUGAUCUUAGUUGCCAGCAUUCAGUUGGGCACUCUAAGGUGACUGCCGGUGACAAACCGGAGGAAGGUGGGGAUGACGUCAAAUCAUCAUGCCCCUUAUGACCUGGGCUACACACGUGCUACAAUGGAUGGUACAAAGGGCUGCAAGACUGCGAAGUCAAGCGAAUCCCAUAAAACCAUUCUCAGUUCGGAUUGCAGGCUGCAACUCGCCUGCAUGAAGCUGGAAUCGCUAGUAAUCGCGGAUCAGCAUGCCGCGGUGAAUACGUUCCCGGGCCUUGUACACACCGCCCGUCACACCACGAGAGUUUGUAACACCCGAAGUCGGUGGGGUAACCGUAAGGAGCCAGCCGCCUAAGGUGG
This 512-nucleotide ribosomal RNA is filed under the name uncultured bacterium. RNAcentral's name for it is "bacterial SSU rRNA". It matches the Rfam family "Bacterial small subunit ribosomal RNA", at positions 954 to 1465 of the family's 1533-position model. The record is from RNAcentral.